CUCCUGAUCUGACACCAUAUUCUCUUUUCCAGGCCGAAGCCCAAUUAAAAAAGAACAGCUUUCUAAUUUUAGGAAUUUAUGAAAAGCACGAAACAAAGUGUCUCAUUCUCCUCCAGCAAAUCUAUUUAUUUCCUUCAUGGCCAGGGGCAAAGGAGGUUUUUUGAACCCAUUUCCCAGCAAAAGGUCGCUUCCCUCGUGAUUCACCGCCGGGUGAGGAAAUUCUGUGCCCGGACUGGUAAAAAUUCUGGGAAAAAAAAAAAAAACAACCUUGUGGUGCUCAAAGCACGUCCCUUAUCCAUUUUAUACAAUAUGUGUCAAUGUUCCAAAGGAUCCCAAUGCUCCAGAGGUGUCUCAGCACUGCCCAUUCCUGGGAAAAGCUCUCCCAGGGACUGCAGGACGAGUCACGCCUGAACAUCAGCGACAUUUUGAGGUUUCUUUUCUUUCUCACCCAAUUCUCGGGAGGCCUGAGGAGCGACUGCAAGGAGAAAUCCUGAGAAAGCCAAGCCUCCCUCUGUUCAGAGGACAUGUGAAUACCACACAAUUCCAUCCCAAGCUCAUGGUGCACAUGAAAUUAAAAGAUUUAACUUGAUAUGAAGAGAAGUUAAAAUAUUUUCUAGAAGGUCUGGAAGGAGGCACACAGGAUUUGUGACAGGAACACAGGAGCAUGAGUGAAAUAAAAUGAAAGGGCAUAGAGAGAGACCUGAAUGUGUUUCACCUCAAUGAUUCUCCAGGAAAACUCUGGAGCAGCUGGAGAGGGAAAUUCAUCCUCCUGCAGAUUCCCCAGGCCAAAUGGGUCUCUUUUGUGUGGACAAUCCCUCAAGAUUUGAGUAUUAUUUCUAUUACUGCUA
Non-coding RNA from Taeniopygia guttata (zebra finch), 848 nucleotides. NCBI's taxonomy places the organism in Eukaryota, Metazoa, Chordata, Aves, Passeriformes, Estrildidae. The record is from RefSeq and is a predicted model, not a curated record.